GGGUCCGCAAGAAAAGUCUGCCAAUUCCAGUUUCAGGACUGGGUGACUUCAAAACCAGUGCCGCCAUCCCCGCGUGUGUUUCUUGAGCUGUUUGAUGCUGUUCAACAGUGGCAACAAAAACGUGGAGACACUCCCAUAACUGUUCACUGCAUGAACGGAGCCCACCAGAGCGGGUUGUUCUGUGCCGUGGCUCGCAUACUGGACAAGCUGAAGGUGGAGCAGGAAGUGGAUGUCUUCCACACGGUGAAGGCUGUCAGACAAAACAGACCACAGCUGGUCGAUAGCAAGGAACAGUAUGUAUUUUGCUACGAUGUGGUUGAAGAAUACGUCCGUAAAUUUGACACCUAUGUCAACCUCCAGAUGUAGGCUUGUGAAUGGACCUGCAAUCCUUACCAAGCAGUUACCACCAUCGAAAUGGAAAUUAUAAGUUACAUGUUGAAAGUAAUGUUAUUUUUAUGGGGAAAGUACCGCAGUGAAGUUUAUAUCAGUAGCUUUCUAUAAAGGAAAAUAAAAACUUUACUAAUUGUUUCUUUAAGAAGAGGGGCAACUGCGGGUACAAACCAACGACAUCAAAACUGUGACAUUUGAGCAGUUGUAGUAAAGAAACAGUCAGGUGAUGGAGCAAUGGGAUCCUAAGGAACAUUUUAAGGUUACAUUUUUUUCUUUCGGAUCAACACUGACGUAGAUCACAGUUGAGAUCAAUAACCACCAGUACAUGUGUGUAGUUACCCAGCUCACCGGUAUGGGUGAUAGAGUGUAUGGUUUCUUUUAAAAUAUGCUUCAAAUUGUUUAAAAGACAAGGUUCGCUAACGGGUAUCAUCCAGUCACAGGAAACUUUGAUUGCAAUUGUUGUCUUUUUGGAUGCCCAAUAAUUAAUGAUCUUUUUCGAUAAGACAGCAGUAAUACAUAUAAGUGCAAACUCCAGAGAUUGAAACAAAUGUGCCUACAGUGUACAGCAUCUUUAAAGGCUCAAGUUAUAGGCUCAAGUGUGCAUUAAGAAAACCCAGCAUUCAAAAUAAUAUACUCGUUAUGGUUUUCAAAAUAAGUAAUCUUUGCUUAAUUAUAUGUAUUUUCUUCAGGUAACAAAGUGCCUACAUUAAUACCGUUCUCAUUGUAACCGAUUCUUGCAAUUUUCCAUUUUAAACAUCAAAGGAAAUAAAG
Lingula anatina is the source of this 1161-nucleotide long non-coding RNA. The record is from RefSeq and is a predicted model, not a curated record. Lineage: Eukaryota; Metazoa; Brachiopoda; Lingulata; Lingulida; Lingulidae.